AUUGAACGCUGGCGGCAGGCCUAACACAUGCAAGUCGGACGGUAGCACAGAGGAGCUUGCUCCUUGGGUGACGAGUGGCGGACGGGUGAGUAAUGUCUGGGGAUCUGCCCGAUAGAGGGGGAUAACCACUGGAAACGGUGGCUAAUACCGCAUAACGUCGCAAGACCAAAGAGGGGGACCUUCGGGCCUCUCACUAUCGGAUGAACCCAGAUGGGAUUAGCUAGUAGGCGGGGUAAUGGCCCACCUAGGCGACGAUCCCUAGCUGGUCUGAGAGGAUGACCAGCCACACUGGAACUGAGACACGGUCCAGACUCCUACGGGAGGCAGCAGUGGGGAAUAUUGCACAAUGGGCGCAAGCCUGAUGCAGCCAUGCCGCGUGUAUGAAGAAGGCCUUCGGGUUGUAAAGUACUUUCAGCGGGGAGGAAGGCGGUGAGGUUAAUAACCUCGCCGAUUGACGUUACCCGCAGAAGAAGCACCGGCUAACUCCGUGCCAGCCGCCGGUAA
This 504-nucleotide ribosomal RNA is filed under the name uncultured bacterium. RNAcentral describes it as "partial 16S ribosomal RNA". It matches the Rfam family "Bacterial small subunit ribosomal RNA", at positions 29 to 523 of the family's 1533-position model. The record is from RNAcentral.